Molecule: long non-coding RNA, 314 nt
Organism: Rhinichthys klamathensis goyatoka
Lineage: Eukaryota; Metazoa; Chordata; Actinopteri; Cypriniformes; Leuciscidae
Exons: 2
Source: RefSeq, a predicted model, not a curated record
AGAGAUGAUUCUGCUGUGCAAAAAUACAUUCAAGUUUUAUAACAGAGAGCUUGUUCAUGGUGGUCAAAACAUGUUAUCUAAAGUGAAAUGACGCUUCUGCUCUACAGAAGUUUUGGUCAAUACUCAACAGAAAGAGGACAAUACAGAGGAAAAUGAGAAUGUUUACCACCUGUACUGCACGAUCCCUGACAAACCAGUUCACUCAAACGCAGGAGAUCAAGUCUACAGUUUGGUGAAGAUGCACUGAUGAGUCUCAAGUCGUGUUUCAUUAUGUACAUUUAUUAUAAAUAAACUAUCUUUACUUGCUGACAAAA